UGCGAUUUCAUUGCAUAGUCUUUAUUUUCAAAAACAGCUUCACAUGUAUGAACACAUCCCUGCUAUCCCGCACAAUUGACGCGUUUCGAAGUUUACGUUCUUAAUUAUUAUUAUUAUU
This is a long non-coding RNA of Bufo bufo (common toad), 118 nucleotides long. RefSeq lists it as uncharacterized. Lineage: Eukaryota; Metazoa; Chordata; Amphibia; Anura; Bufonidae. The record is from RefSeq and is a predicted model, not a curated record. The transcript is spliced from 3 exons.